This 301-nucleotide ribosomal RNA is filed under the name uncultured bacterium. Its description in RNAcentral is "partial 16S ribosomal RNA". It matches the Rfam family "Bacterial small subunit ribosomal RNA", at positions 509 to 807 of the family's 1533-position model. The record is from RNAcentral.
CAGUAGCCACGGUAAUACGUAGGUGGCAAGCGUUGUCCGGAAUUAUUGGGCGUAAAGCGCGCGCAGGUGGUUUAAUAAGUCUGAUGUGAAAGCCCCCGGCUCAACCGUGGAGGGUCAUUGGAAACUGUUAAACUUGAGUGCAGGAGAGAAAAGUGGAAUUCCUAGUGUAGCGGUGGAAUGCGUAGAGAUUAGGAGGAACACCAGUGGCGAAGGCGGCUUUUUGGCCUGUAACUGACACUGAGGCGCGAAAGCGUGGGGAGCAAACAGGAUUAGAUACCCCCGUAGUCCCUGUCUCUUAUAC